This is a non-coding RNA of Paramuricea clavata, 472 nucleotides long. Lineage: Eukaryota; Metazoa; Cnidaria; Anthozoa; Malacalcyonacea; Plexauridae. The record is from the annotation of a GenBank genome assembly.
GAAUAAGUUUUGUCAACUUUUAUGUAACUUGAUAUAAUCUUAAAUUUUUUAACUUUGCUAUAUAUUUGGCACGUAUGCAAAUAGCAUACAUAACUAGUUAAUAGCUGGACAUAACUAGCACAUACACAAGAAUAACAAUAAUAAACCAAUAUGUAAAAACGUACCAAAGAUGAAGAAGCACAAACGAGACUAGGUCCCAUGCAUGAUGCUCACCAUUAGUUAGUCAGGACAGUACAUACAAAACAACACAUUAAGAUAGAAUAGAAAAAAGGACAGAGAAGGAAAGCAAGAAGCUGAAGUAUACAGUAGAUUAAGAAAGAGGAGGGAAAGAACGAUUGAUAUAUGGAAGUUAUUAUUCAGUCGUGAUCAAUGAGUGUGAUCUUUCUCACGCCGCCAUUUUUGGGUGACUUUUCAACCAUAACAGCGAUUAUAAUUUAUAAUUUUUUGGGCAAAUAAUGGUAAAUUUGCUCUG